AUCUGUGAAAUGAGGGAGUUUGA
RNAcentral lists this non-coding RNA (23 nucleotides) under Mus musculus (house mouse). The record is from RNAcentral. Lineage: Eukaryota; Metazoa; Chordata; Mammalia; Rodentia; Muridae. RNAcentral also lists the same sequence under 1 other name.